CAAUAGCGUAUAUUAAAGUUGUUGCGGUUAAGAAGCUCGUAGUUGGAUUUCUGCUGAGAACGACCGGUCCGCCCUUUGGGUGUGUAUCUGGCUCUUUCUUGGCAUCUUCUUGGUGAACGUUGCUGCACUUGACUGUGUGGAGCGCUACCCAGGACUUUUACUUUGAGGAAAUUAGAGUGUUUCAAGCAGGCAUACGCCUUGAAUACAUUAGCAUGGAAUAAUAAGAUAGGACCUCGGUUCUAUUUUGUUGGUUUCUAGAGCUGAGGUAAUGAUUAAUAGGGAUAGUUGGGGGCAUUCGUAUUUAACUGUCAGAGGUGAAAUUCUUGGAUUUAUGAAAGACGAACGACUGCGAAAGCAUUUACCAAGGAUGUUUUCAUUAA
Molecule: ribosomal RNA, 380 nt
Filed under: uncultured eukaryote
Lineage: Eukaryota
Description: partial 18S ribosomal RNA
Rfam family: Eukaryotic small subunit ribosomal RNA
Source: RNAcentral